This is a non-coding RNA of Macaca mulatta (Rhesus monkey), 1117 nucleotides long. The record is from RefSeq and is a predicted model, not a curated record. NCBI's taxonomy places the organism in Eukaryota, Metazoa, Chordata, Mammalia, Primates, Cercopithecidae.
UAUGGAAAAGUACAGAGAGCUGGAGUGGGAGGAGGAGGAAAUAUUAAAAUGUAGAAACAUAGAAAAAGUUAUUGCUGAUCUCCAUGCAUGUUAGUCGAGGUUAGUACCAGAAGGGACUAAAGAUCUCUUAGGGGAAGUAAAACACAUUAAUAAAGACAAUCUUUAAAAGGAUGUGUUCCCCAACCUUUCAGCAGUAAAGCUGUCUGAACAAGGCUAAGAAAUCUUUCACAUGAAAACAGCUGAGGAGCAGAGGCGCCAGGAGAAUUUUUCCAGUGAUUGGUGGAACGUAACCUUGAAAGUCUACCUUGUCAGUUCUUGAGAUUGGGGUUCUUCAGGCUUCAUCUUGGCUUAUUUCCCUGCUGGGAAUCAGAGAUAGAAACAAAUGAAGCAUCAGGUUGAAAACAGAAGUGCAAAACAGUCACAGGAAACACAACCCAUACAUCAUACCAGCAGCCGGAGGAAAGCCCCCGCCCACCAGAGACAACCAGGCAACAAGCUGGGGCCACGCAACUCUCAUACCUUUCCCAGCUUCGCAGAUAAUUAAGAAACAGCGGUGACCUAGUACCUAGGAACUAAUCAGAACUUACAGUAAUAACUUUUUCCAACCACGGAUCUUGGUAGAGCUUCUUACAGGUGAUCCUUGUCACCCGGCAAAAUAGUUGCCUCUCAUUAUCAAGAAACAGAAGGAGAAACAAAACGACCAGAGAACUCACCAUCCACUCAGGCAUGUGAAAGCUGAGGUGCCCUCAUUACCGUCCCACUUCUCCAUAGUGCAGGCUUGGGUCUGGUUUCAGGAAGAAACAGGAUGCCAGUGCAGUAGCCCUGUACACUAUCACCUUAAAGGACCUCCGAAGUUGUUUCUGCUUUAUGUCUCCAUACCAACUGCCUCCUUGCUGCACACUUCAGAAGUUUGGAAAUAAGACAUAACUAGAAAAAAGGUAAGCUAGCCUAUCUCACCUGCUUAGUUCAUUCCUAGAGUAUAUUAUCCAGUAAGAGUACCACAGGUUUCAGGCAUGAAGGAAGUCUAACAAGAUAUGCCUGCUUUGGUCCCUUUAAGGACCAGGACUCUUUUUUUUUUUUUGAGACGGAGUCUCACUCUGUCGCCCGGGCUGGAGUA